UUUGUACAAAAAGUCGUACUUAAUUCAAAUCAAUGUCCAAUUUGGAUUCUCAGCCCUACAGUGUGAAAAAGUAGGCAGUGGAAAAGUUCUGCUGAUUGUGCUGACCUGCACAAUGCCAGAUUCAUGUAAGCAAUCUUGAAAAUUUCCUGCAGUCAAAUACAUGACACCAAAGAAAAGAAUGCACAUACCUACUUUAUGUGACAAAAUUCCUUUGGCAGCAAUAUAUUUUCACAUGCUUGCCACUAACAAAAAUAGUUUGAAUUAUAAAUGUUCUCCUGGAAAAUCCACUGUUCCCAAUUUUCACACAACACUGAGUUACGAAAAAACAUUUUUUUUGCCAUUGCUGCUACCACAGGCCUGUGCUUCCACUGAUGUUUUUGGUUUGAACAACAAAAAUUCGUUCAUAUCUACAAUUAUCCAGUAUCAAAUCAUAUUUAACUAAAUUAACUUCUUUUGCAGAGAUCCAUACUCUUCAAAGUAUCAGUUCUAUCAUGAAGGAGAAUGAUGGGAGAAACAUCGACAUGCUAAAUUUGUGGGAGUAUGCUGAUUGCUGAAGCCUGACUGGAGCUAAUCCGCUUGGUGGCACCAGUCUGCAGUA
Long non-coding RNA from Daphnia magna, 598 nucleotides. RefSeq lists it as uncharacterized. NCBI's taxonomy places the organism in Eukaryota, Metazoa, Arthropoda, Branchiopoda, Diplostraca, Daphniidae. The record is from RefSeq and is a predicted model, not a curated record. The transcript has 2 exons.